UACGGAGGAUGCGAGCGUUAUCCGGAUUUAUUGGGUUUAAAGGGUGCGUAGGCGGGAUGCCAAGUCAGCGGUAAAAAUGCGGUGCUCAACGCCGUCGAGCCGUUGAAACUGGCGUUCUUGAGUGGGCGAGAAGUAUGCGGAAUGCGUGGUGUAGCGGUGAAAUGCAUAGAUACCACGCAGAACUCCGAUUGCGAAGGCAGCAUACCGGCGCCCUACUGACGCUGAGGCACGAAAGCGUGGGUAUCGAACAGG
Molecule: ribosomal RNA, 252 nt
Filed under: uncultured bacterium
Lineage: Bacteria
Description: partial 16S ribosomal RNA
Rfam family: Bacterial small subunit ribosomal RNA
Source: RNAcentral